Molecule: transfer RNA, 75 nt
Filed under: Sphaerodactylus townsendi
Lineage: Eukaryota; Metazoa; Chordata; Lepidosauria; Squamata; Sphaerodactylidae
Description: tRNA-Thr
Rfam family: tRNA
About the family: Transfer RNA (tRNA) molecules are approximately 80 nucleotides in length. Their secondary structure includes four short double-helical elements and three loops (D, anti-codon, and T loops).
Source: RNAcentral
GGAAGGGCUGUGGCUCAGUGGUAAAGCAUCUGCUUUGUAUUCUGAAGGUUGUAGGUUCAAUUCCCAACCUUUCCA